This 29-nucleotide non-coding RNA is filed under the name Rattus norvegicus (Norway rat). The record is from RNAcentral. Lineage: Eukaryota; Metazoa; Chordata; Mammalia; Rodentia; Muridae.
UACCAGUGCCCUGAAGGUCAGAGAGAUGG